CGCAAAAUCCGUGUCCAUUCGCGGGGCAUGGGAGGAGAAAUCAUCAGUUAGGAGGAGAAUGAACUCUCCGCCGCCGUCGCCGUCGCCGGCGGUGAUGUCUGGAUGCGCCUCCCUCGCCAGACGCUGGUACUCCUGCUUUAACUCCUUCUCCAGUCUCCACGCGCAUUUUCCCACUCUCAGCACCUCGCAGUGCGUCCUCGCCGCCGCCGCUGUCGCCGCCGCUGCACGACCCGCACACAGAGACUGGUUACUGCAGCGGCGGCCACCGAAGGAAAUCAUCACUGCACCGCAAAUUUGGUACCUGAUUGUUGUCUCACAGGGAUGCACGUCAUUAGCUCAAAUCUUUUUUUUUGGUGGGAAAAACAUUGACCUAAUGUUUUAGCCCAUGAUUUCCACAGUUUGGAUAGGAUGACAUCAUAACAUGCGUACAAAUGGUCAAUGCUACACUGACAUGCCAAAACCAAAGCAUCAGCCUUUUUGUCAUACCAUACUCGUCCUGAUUGUAUGGUGGUUCAACAAUCAACAGACAUGGUGUCUUAGUUCACUUGUCUUACUAUCUUUUUUGUGCUCUUGUUGUUAAUAGUCUUGAUUUUGUUAUCCACUCCUAACCACUCUUUGGGUGUAUCAAUAAGAUUUAGUAGUCACUAGUCAGCUUGGUUUGGUACAAGUCACUCCCUCCAAAGAAAAUAAGAACUACAGAACCAUGGUCCUCCAAUUGUCCCUUAGGUUCACAAACCGAUUAUGCGAGGAAGUACCUUGUGCUUGAGCCUGUGUUGAGUUUCAGGGCCUCAGGAGUUUGCUGAACCCGACAAUUAUUCUGACAAAAUUGGAAUAGAUGAACACACUUAACUAUCAAACUAUGGUGAGCUACUUGUCCUUAUGGUUCCUGUUUCUCAACGACACUUACAUUUCAGCCCCCAUCAGGUGUUAAAAGUAGUUUUCUAUCAUAUCACCUUUCGAUUAUGACCUAAGAAGUGAUAUCAUUUCUCUUCCUAUCCUCCCUUUAUCUAUUGGGCCAUAGAGCUUUCGGCAGCCUCCUUGAUAUCAGCAUCAUUGUGAUUUUUUGGGUAGCUUACCAAUCUAACCAUCACCUAACUUUGUUUGUAUUAUAGAUUUGUAUUUUUCUUUUUUUUAUAGUCUGAAUUACCUAAAGGCUUAUUGAGCUAACGUUGCUGGAAGGAUGCCGGUCUGUCUUCAAGACUGAGACUUGUCAUGUUUCUUCCGGUGAUGUGGAUAGCACAGUCUGAUUAAGCCUGAAGUCAACACAUCAGGUCUGUUUGGUGAUAAAUAGUUGCAAUGUUUGAAGGGGGUUUACCAAUAACCAAAUAUAAGAGACUAUAAAUUGAACUCAUCUUGCUGGGUCUACUUUAUUUGCGUUCAUCUGUGCUGGAGCUGGAGGCAAGAAUACUCCUUCUGUAACUCUUCUACACACGGUGGCACUGUGGAGUUCAGAUCUCGGAGGUUUUCGCUGGAGCCAUUCAGUCAUGUUGUCAGUAGCUACCUUCAAUGUCAACCAAGAGAACUCCAUGGAGUCAGUCAGAGCAAUAAUGGAGCGUCAAACAGCUCGCAGGGCCCCAACCGAUGUGACACAGAUGAUAGAAUCUCUUUUUGCCAGUGUCAAUCUUGCUAAAGACCAUGCUGCAAGGUGCAAAGGCAAAGCGUUGCAACUCACGGAUGGUGAGAUACAAAACAUAACACAAGACCUGGAGAAUGUCUUGCAGAACAUAUAUGAUGAUCUUGGCAGGAUACCAGCAUCAGCAUUUGGCAGUAACGCUUACAUGGAUGUGCUAAUCAAAUCACAAUCAAUGAAGGGUUUCUCUGAGGCUGAUAUAUCCAUGAAUGUAACGAGCAACGGGCCUAGGAGGAGGUCUUUCUGUGAUAAUGGCACUCCGAGGCUCUUGGACUUUCUGCAGGGAAUGUACCAUGAAUCACAUGAAUUUGGUGGCCAGAUGUUCAACACUCUCCCGGAGGUUGCAGAAUACAUCGAGCCACUGUAUGAUGCAUUCUUCUGUCCACUGACAAAUGAGAUAAUGACUGAUCCUGUGACAACCGAGAAUGGUGUGACAUAUGACAGGAGAGCCAUAGAGGAGUAUAUUGAAAGAUCUGCAGACAGUUCUGAACCAGUCUAUUGCCCUGUCACAAAAAUGGCAAUGCAAAGUAAGACAAUGACGCACAAUGCUUCCCUGAAGAGCGUAAUUGAAGAAUGGACAACGAGGAAUGAGGCGAUGCGUGUCAGGAUUGCUCGCACUGCCCUCUCUCUGUCAACUGCGGACACAAUGGUGCUUGAAGCCAUACAUGAGCUGAAGUUGCUGGCCAAGCUGAGGGGGAAGAACAGGGAGCUGAUGCAUAAGAUUGGGGUCACCAAGUACUUGGCACGGUUGUUGGACAACCACAAUGCACAGAUUCGAUGUGAUGCGCUGGAGCUUCUGUGCUUGUUAGUUGGAGAUGAAGAAGGAAAAGACAUCAUUGGAAAAACUAAGGCCAUUGCCAGGACAAUAAAGCUACUGUCAAGUAAUACUACUGAUGAAAAGCAUGUGGCCAUCUCUUUCUUGCUGGAGCUUUCGAAGUCACAGUUACUGUUGGAGGAUAUUGGGUCAACGGCUGGAAGUAUUCUGAUCCUCACGACAAUGAAGAUCAACAAUUCAGAUGAUCCAAUUGCUGCUGAGAAAGCUGGAGCAGUCCUUGAGAACCUGGAGAAGUGUCCGAAGAACAUUAAAUACAUGGCUGAAAGUGGCUACUUAGAACCCCUUCAGAGUCAUCUAGUUGAAGGCUCAGAAGAGAUGCAGAUGGAGAUGGUCAGCUACUUCAGCGAGCUGGUCCAAGAGCAGGAGCUCACCAUUGACAUCACCAGAAGCACGUCGGAGAUCCUCAUCAAGAUGGCGCGCAGCUGUAACCCCAUGGUCCGCAAGGCAGCGUUCGAUGUACUUGUCCAGCUUUCCUCACACCGCCCCAACAGCAAGAUGCUUGUCGAUGCAGGCGCUGUCCCUGUGAUGAUCGAGGAACUCUUCAUCCGAAAGGUAGACGAUGAGCUGGUGAACUCCAUGGCCAACGCUGCCACCGUCCUUGCCAACAUUGUCGAGUCAGGCAUUGAUCUGGAGACCACGGUGGUGAACAAGGAAGGCCACGUCCUCACUUCCAAGUACUCCAUCUAUAACUUCGUUCACAUGCUCAAGUGCUUCGUGCCGGACGACCUCAACCUCAGCAUCAUCCGCGUCCUGCUUGAGCUGACUGCGCUCGCCAAGCCACUGGCGACUGUGGUCUCGGUCAUUAGGGAGAACCACCGUGGCCAUGCCAUCGUCGAGCUCAUGAGCUCCCCAACGGAGGCGCUCAGCGUCGCCGCGACAAGGCUGCUCAUCACCCUGUCCCCGCACAUUGGCCACACCAUCGCAGAGAGGCUCUGCAAGACGCAGGGGCAGCCGGGCUGGCUGGUCAAAAGCAUCAGCCACGCCGGGCGCAUCACCGAACAGCAAGCCGCGUCGGCGACUCUCCUCGCGAGGCUUCCUUACCGAAACACCUCGCUCAACAUCGCGCUUGUGCAGGAGGGCGCGGUGCCGGUCAUACUGAGCGCGAUAAAGGAGAUGCAGAACGGCGCCGCGAGAACGAGCAGGCACGCAGUGCCAUACAUGGAGGGACUCGUCGGCUCGCUCGUGCGGCUCACCGCGACUCUGUACAGCCCGGAAGUGCUGAAGGCGGCCAUGGACCACAACGUGGCGUCUGUGCUCACUGAGCUGCUCCGCGGAGCAGCUGGAAGCGACGAAGUGCAACGGCUCGCGGCGGUGGGGCUCGAGAACCUCAGCUACCUCUCCAUUAAACUGUCCCAGCCACCGCCCGAUGAGCUGCUGUCGAAGAAGACAACCAUACUAAAGCUCCUGAAGGGCUCAAAGGUGCACAACAACAACAAGAAAAACUCGCAUCACCAGCUCAGCGUUUGCUCGGUGCACCGGGGAGUCUGCUCCCCGGAGACGACCUUCUGCCUCCUUGAGGCCGGCGCCGUUGAAGGCCUCCUGAUCUGCCUCGACAACGACAACGUCCGGGUCGUUGAGGCCGCGCUUGGGGCGCUGUGCACGCUCCUCGACGAGAGGGUGGACGUUGAGAAGAGCGUGGCGGCCCUCGACAAGCUCGACGCGACGAGGCGCGUGCUCGGCGCGCUGAGGCAGCACAGGCAGAACGUGCUGUGGCAAAAGUGCUUCUGCAUGGUGGAGAAGCUCCUGGAGCACGGCGACGACCGGUGCGUGAGGGAGGUGACCGGCGACCGGAUGCUACCCAUGGCGUUGGUGAGCGCAUUCCACAGGGGGGACGCGAGCACCAAGCAGGCGGCCGAGAGCAUCCUCAGGAGGCUGCACAAGAUGCCCGAUUACUCUGCUACCUAUGUGUCCAUGGAGUUCUAGUGAUUUAUCUCUGUUGAGGACUAAACACUGUCAAAUCUGUGCAUAUAUAAAUGUGUAUGGGAAAUUGGAGACGAUCAGAACUCUGUGCCUCCACACGCUGACACGCCCCGUCUCGAGCUCGCAGGCUAGCUACAGAAACUGGAAUGGGCUAAUCUGGUCCAAAAUGGCAAG
RNA transcript from Phragmites australis (common reed), 4559 nucleotides. It is a transcript of the gene named putative U-box domain-containing protein 42, with no coding region annotated. The record is from RefSeq and is a predicted model, not a curated record. The transcript is spliced from 5 exons. Lineage: Eukaryota; Viridiplantae; Streptophyta; Magnoliopsida; Poales; Poaceae.